ACGAAGGAUGCAAGCGUUAUCCGGAUUCAUUGGGUUUAAAGGGAGCGUAGGCGGACUUAUAAGUCAGUGGUGAAAUCUCUGGGCUUAACCCAGAAACUGCCAUUGAUACUGUAGGUCUUGAGUACAGUUGCCGUUGGCGGAAUAUGACAUGUAGUGGUGAAAUACUUAGAUAUGUCAUAGAACACCGAUUGCGAAGGCAGCUAACGAAGCUGUAACUGACGCUGAGGCUCGAAAGUGCGGGGAUCAAACAGGA
Molecule: ribosomal RNA, 253 nt
Filed under: uncultured prokaryote
Description: partial 16S ribosomal RNA
Rfam family: Bacterial small subunit ribosomal RNA
Source: RNAcentral